Cavia porcellus (domestic guinea pig) is the source of this 1045-nucleotide long non-coding RNA. RefSeq lists it as uncharacterized. NCBI's taxonomy places the organism in Eukaryota, Metazoa, Chordata, Mammalia, Rodentia, Caviidae. The record is from RefSeq and is a predicted model, not a curated record. The transcript has 3 exons.
GCUCUGAGCUCCGGGGUGUUGGUAACAGCAGGGCCACCACCAUCACCAGUAAGAGCUGUGGUGCAGGGAAGACAGGGAAGGCGAGGGGUGACCUGGUCACCUCACAAUGGGGGCAGACUCCUGCGUGCUGAGCGGGCGGGUGCCGCUGCGUGGCUGAGAACACAGAGUGCAUCUCACAGGGUCACAGAACGCGGAGACGGCUUAGGGUCCAAGGACGAGGACUGUGAAGACUGCGCUUAUUCAUACCCUCAACUACCACAGAACACAGAAGGUUUUCAGAAAUACAAGGUUGAAAACAGAACCUCAUGCAUGCCAGGCAAGAGCUCCACCACCGAGCAACAUCUCCAGCCCUUUUUAUUUUCAGACAAGAUCUUGCUAAGUUGCCUGUAAACCUGUGAUCCUCCUGUCUCAGCCUCCCAGGAGCUGGAGCGCAAACAGAAUGGGCAUGAGAAGCGCCGGGAAGACCACUCUGCUGUCUGGAGCAGUCUGCCUGCAACCUUCGGAGCUGGCGGCGCGCACUUCCUUCGCUGGGCUGUGAACCCGUUCCCCCUGCGCUGAAAGGGUUUCCACGCUGUUUAGAUUCUGCGCCUCGCCUCUCUCUGCCUGAGCUGCGAUUUCUAAACGACCCUCUGCGCCCACGUCCUGAUUCUGCGUUUUCCAAGCAAGUGACGCAUUUCCCCCUAUUUCCUUAGGAGAGAUCCCUAAGAUUGGAAUGGGGCAUCCCGGAGUGGACCCUCACAGGCUGCCUGCCUCCCUGCGUCCUCCCAAACCUAGCACGGUCAAUCUGGGUCAGUCUGGCAAGAGAAUCUGGAAGGUUCCCAGUUGUAAUCUGUAUUCCUUGGGUUAUUACAAGGCUAAACACGACUGCAGAUGUUCAUUAGCACGGGUGGAAUACCUGUGAAUUGUCCUCCUUGGCUCUGUGACCUCCACUGCAACUGUGGCAUUUGUCUUUUAUCAAAAUACGGAAGAUACACGUCGUUUUUUUUAAAAAAAAAUAUAGACAAAGACUCCAAAACAUCAAAAUUAAAUUAAUUAAAUUAAUUAA